RNAcentral lists this ribosomal RNA (2902 nucleotides) under Haloprofundus halophilus. RNAcentral describes it as "bacterial LSU rRNA". It matches the Rfam family "Archaeal large subunit ribosomal RNA". The record is from RNAcentral. Lineage: Archaea; Methanobacteriati; Methanobacteriota; Halobacteria; Halobacteriales; Haloferacaceae.
UUGCCAUCUGGUGGAUAGCUCGGCUCGAGAACCGAAGAAGGACGCGCCAAGCUGCGAUAAGCCUCAGGGAGCUGCAUGGAAGCCAAGAACUGAGGAUCUCCUAAUGGGAAUCCCUUCACAAUUGCCACGCGCAAUAGGGAACGUCGGGAACUGAAACAUCUUAGUACCGACAGGAAAAGAAAGCAAACCGCGAUGUCGUUAGUAACGGCGAGUGAAGACGACACAGUCCAAACCGAAGCCCUCACGGGCAAUGUGGUGUUCGGACUGACCACCAUCGACCAAUCAUCGACGAGAAGUCUUCUGGAACGAAGCGUGAUACAGGGUGACAACCCCGUAUCGUCGACGAGCGGUCGUGGGUCAACUCCAGAGUAGCGGGGGUCGGAUAUCCCUCGUCAACAUGGCUGGCAUCCUCAGCCAAGACUAAACAUUCCUCGAGACCGAUAGCGAACAAGUAGCGUGAGCGAACGCUGAAAAGCACUCCGAGAAGGACCGUGCAAUAGAGCUUGAAAUCAGGUGGCGAUGGAACGACGGGGCAUGAAAGGCUCCACGAUAAACGACCCGGAAGCGAUUCCGCAGUAGGACUCGUGGAGAGCCGAUGUCGCGUCGUGCGUUUUGAAAAACGAACCAGAGAGUGUACCUAUUCGGCGAGUCUAACUCGAUUAUCGAGGAAGGCACAGGGAAACCGAUACGGCCGCAGCAUCUUCGGAUGUGAGGGCCACCGUCUUCAAGGGCGGGGAGCCGAGUGGGUACGACCCGAAACCGAGUGAUCUACACGGGGGCAAGGUGAAGCGUGGCGAAAGCCACGUGGAGGCCUGUUAGAGUUGGUGUCCUACAAUACCCUCUCGUGACCCAUGUGUAGGGGUGAAAGGCCCAUCGAACUCGGCAACAGCUGGUUCCGACCGAAACAUGUCGAAGCAUGACCUCAACUGAGAUAGUCUGUGAGGUAGAGCGACCGAUUGGGAGACCCGCCUCCGAGAGGAGUCGGCCUCCCUGUCAAACUCCGAACUUACAGACGUCGUAGACGUUGGGAGUCCGGUCUGCGGGGUAAGCCUGUGGACCGUAAGGGAGACAACCCAGAGCUGGGUUAAGGACCCAAAAUGUGGACUAAGUGCAAUCGAAGAUAGUCUCGAGCCCUAAACAGCCGGGAGGUGAGCUUAGAAGCAGCAACCCUCUAAGAAAAGCGUAACAGCUUACCGGCCGAGGUUUGAGGCGUCGAAAAUGAUCGGGGCUCAAGUCCACUUCCGAGACCCGGCGGUACUCUUACAGAGUAAUCCAGUAGGUCGGCACUCUGAGCGGGUGGAAGCACGGGUGAGAACUCGUCGUGGACCGCUCAGUGACGAAAAUUCUGGUCACAGUAGCAGCGAGAGUCGGGUGAAAACCCCGACGGCCUAAUGAGCAAGGGUUCCUCGGCACUGCCAAUCAGCCGAGGGUUAGCCGAUCCUAAGUCCCACCGUAACUCGAAUGGGACAAAAGGGUAACUGGUUAAUAUUCCAGUGCUAUCACCACUCAAAGUCGACGCCUGGGGGUAGAUCGAGCCGGACAGUCGUCCGGUCGAAUCACUAAACUCCGUGGAAGCCGUCAUGGCACGAAGCGGACGAACGGUGAGACAGCGAAAGUCGAUCCAACCUCGGGCCCGUGAAAAGACGAGCGUGAUACUCGUACCGAGAUCCGACACAGGUGCUCAGGCGGAGAAAGCCAAGGCCUGUCGGGAUAACCGACGUUAGGGAAUUCGGCAAGUUAGUCCCGUACCUUCGGAAGAAGGGAUGCCUGCCCCUCACAGGGCAGGUCGCAGUGACUCGGACGCUCCAACUGUCUAGUAACAACACAGGUGACCGCAAAUCCGCAAGGACUCGUACGGUCACUGAAUCCUGCCCAGUGCAGGUAUCUGAACACCUCGUACAAGAGGACGAAGGACCUGUCAACGGCGGGGGUAACUAUGACCCUCUUAAGGUAGCGUAGUACCUUGCCGCUUCAGUAGCGGCUUGCAUGAAUGGAUCAAUGAGAGCGUCACUGUCCCAACGUUGGACCCGGUGAACUGUACAUUCCAGUGCGGAGUCUGGAGACCCCCAAGGGGAAGCGAAGACCCUAUAGAGCUUUACUGCAGGCUGUCGCUGAGACGUGGUCGCUGAUGUGCAGCAUAGAUAGGAGCCGUUACACAGGUACCCGCGCUAGCGGGCCACCGAGGCACCAUUGAAAUACUAUCCGUCAGUGACUGCGACUCUCACUCCGGGAGGAGAACACCGGUAGCCGGGCAGUUUGACUGGGGCGGUACGCGCUCGAAAAGAUAUCGAGCGCGCCCGAAGGUUCUCUCAUUCGGGUCGGAAACCCGAAGAAGAGCGCAAGAGCAAACGAGAGCCUGACAGUGACAUUCCCAACGAGUGUCGCUGACACGAAAGUGUGGUCUAGCGAACCGACGAGGCCCAUAGAUGGGGCCCGUCGAUGACAGAAAAGCUACCUUAGGGAUAACAGAGUCGUCACCGGCAAGAGCACAUAUCGACCCGGUGGCUUGCUACCUCGAUGUCGGUUCCCUCCAUCCUGCCUGUGCAGAAGCAGGCAAGGGUGAGGUUGUUCGCCUAUUAAAGGAGGUCGUGAGCUGGGUUUAGACCGUCGUGAGACAGGUCGGCUGCUAUCUAUUGGGGGUGCGAGGUAUCUGACGUGAACGAUCGUAUAGUACGAGAGGAACUACGAUUGGUUGCCACUGGUGUACCGGUUGUCCGACAGGGCAGUUGCCGGGCAGCCACGCAACACGGGGUAAGAGCUGAACGCAUCUAAGCUCGAAACCCACAUGGAAAAGAGAUACCACCAAGGUCACUCGUAGAAGACGAGUUCGAUAGACUCGGGGUGUACGCAACGAGGCAACGAGUUGUUCAGCCCGCGAGCACUAACAGACCAGCCAUCACUC